UGCUCUCUGAUUCCUAAAAGGCUGGGUGGGCGCGGUGGCGCAUGCCUAUAAUCCCAGCAUUUUAGGAAGCCGAGGCGGGUGGAUCAUGAGAUGAGGAGUUCGAGACAAGCCUGGCCAACAUGAUCGAGAAGAAGCUGGAACCGCUGUCACAGGAUGAAGACCAGCACGCGGACCUGACCCAGAGCCGCCGCCCACUUACCAGCUGCACCAUUUUCCUGGGAUAUACAUCCAACCUCAUCAGUUCAGGCAUCCGUGGACGUAUUGGUGACCACAGCUGGCGGCGUGGAGGAAGACCUCAUCAAGUGCCUGGCGCCCACGUACUUAGGCGAGUUUAGCCUCAGGGGGAAGGAGCUCCGGGAGAACGGGAUCAAUAGGAUCGGAAACCUGCUGGUGCCCAAUGACAAUUACUGCAAGUUUGAGGACUGGCUGAUGCCCAUUCUGGACCAGAUGGUGCUGGAGCAGAACACAG
This 469-nucleotide small RNA is filed under the name Pongo abelii (Sumatran orangutan). Its description in RNAcentral is "processed transcript". The record is from RNAcentral. Lineage: Eukaryota; Metazoa; Chordata; Mammalia; Primates; Hominidae.